GGUUUGCCUCCAGCAUAUGCUGUACUAGCAUAGCAGCUCUUCAGGCACUGUGUUUUCCGGUAUAUGUGUGAGUGACAGCACCAAAAAGCAGCAGCUGUUACAUAAAGGAGCCCGAUGCUUCCUUGGCAGCUGCAAUGGCCUCACCAGCCUCCUUUGCCACAGUGGCCAUCAGAGGCUGUCACAUCUGGAGCAGAGGCUGCAGCAUCGGAGCAUCACUGGGAACUCACUUGCGCUGCUGUCCUACGACAAAGGCAGGAGGAGCUGUGCCAUGGUCCAUGGUCACUGCCAGGCCGUUCACUUCACAUACUGGGCUCUUCUCUAAAUGUUGGAUGGGACAGUCAGCUGAUGUGGAGUCAGAAGAGACACAUGGUUUACCUGCAACAAAGCUGAUACUAGACUGGAUUAUAAAACAAACACCAGCUUUGAAGUUGUUGACUCUACCCACGAACCAAAACUUCCUGGUUGGAAGCAACCAGAGCAAACUGUAAGUAAGCAAAACCUGGCCUCAGCUAUGUGUGUUGGAGGAAGCCAAAGUUUCCCCAGUCUGAGGCAGUCUGGACCACUCAUCUCACCCUCUGGGAAGGUGAGAACUGUCACAGUGUUUUGAGCUCAGAACUCAACUUUCUGUAGGUCUGGAUGCAUUUGGGUAUCUGCUUCUGGAUCACACAACUUUGGAGUUUGAGCAGGCUUGGCAAGGGAUGAAUUUUGGACAAUGAAAUCGUGGAGACAGACACCAAGGCACAGCAGGAAAGAAUUCUACUCUCAAAAACUGUUUUUCUAAAAGUAAGUGCCCAAGACUUAGAGUAUUACAAAGGAUAACUGCGGAGGCUGGAAGGAAUGAGAGACUUAUUAGAAAUGGCCUAGCCUCAUGAGGAAUCACUGGGCAAGUGGUUCUGGUAUAAAUGAUGAUGCUCAGCACUUCUUGGAGAAGGAGACAAAUCUCCUUAAUCCUGGGCAGACCCCAGAGUGUCUUCAACCUUGGCAUCCAGCAAUUGGGUUUGCCAGGACAGUACCUGAGGAUGCAGCACUUGCUUUGUGUAUCAGAAUCAUUCUCAUAACAGCAGUAGCUAAUUCUGCCUCGUCUUCCCCUUGGAAAUUCCCCUCUUGGGGAAUGUGGCAGAGGUUGGGCUGCAUGGAUAUUAGGAAGGGCCUGAAAUAAAGUGGCCCUAAAGUGGGCA
This 1178-nucleotide long non-coding RNA is filed under the name Coturnix japonica (Japanese quail). RNAcentral's name for it is "lncRNA (ENSCJPG00005003284.1)". Lineage: Eukaryota; Metazoa; Chordata; Aves; Galliformes; Phasianidae. The record is from RNAcentral.